GGAAGGAUCAUUGAAUCUAUCAAACCCACCCUGGUCACUCUUUACCGCCUCUUUCCGACAUACAACUGGAAAGGCAUCGGUACUCUUCAUUUAUGAAGCGCAUCGGUGGAUAGGGAAGAAGACCUUUCUCACACUCGUGAAGAAGGCAUUCAACAUCCCCUUAGGGGGGUGUUGAAUUUUUUUCCCUGUUGGUUUUUUCUAUUCAUAUACCUACAUUUUUCUGAAUACGAUACCAGUAAAUACUGGUACCUACCAAAGGAAAGACAACUCUCAACAACGGAUAUCUUGGCUCCCGUAUCGAUGAAGAACGCAGCGAAAUGCGAUACGUAAUGUGAAUUGCAGAAUCAUGUGAAUCAUCGAAUUUUUGAACGCAUAUUGCGCCCAAGCCUCGGCAAGGGCAUGUCUGCCUCAGCGUCGGUUUACCCUACCAAAGCUCUUCCUAUUGGAAUGGGCUUCUGGGAGUUGGUCUCCCUAUCCAUCAUUUGUGGAAAGGUUGGCUGAAACAAAAUUCAAUGUUUGCCACUAAAACUAAGGCACACAAUGGUAGGCAAUCCAACUGGGUUGCACUGCCUGUGAGCCUUCGGGAAGGCAUUGUUUAAUCAGGAGUUGGCUCAAAUAGCCGAUAUGUAUAAACCAUCUGACCUGAGAUCAGACAAGAGCACCCGCUGAACUUAAGCAUAUCAAUAAGCGGAGGAGAAGAAACUAACUAGGAUUCCCUUAGUAGCGGCGAGCGAACCGGGAAGUGCCCAACUUGUAAAUCUCUGCCUUCUGGGCGGCGAAUUGUAGUCUAUAGAAGCGCCCUCUGCGACAGGUCGGUCUCAAGUCCCUUGGAAGAGGGUGUCAGAGAGGGUGAGAGCCCCGUCGGCGCCGACUGUUGUUGCUCCACGAGACGCUUUCGAAGAGUCGGGUUGUUUGGGAAUGCAGCCCAAAGCCGGUGGUAAAUCCCAUCUAAGGCUAAAUACUGACGGGAGACCGAUAGCGAACAAGUACCGUGAGGGAAAGAUGAAAAGAACUUUGAAAAGAGAGUUAAAAGUGCUUGAAAUUGUUGAGGGGGAAGGGAUUGGAGGCUGUAGGUGCACUCGGGCUAAUGGGUUACGUCAGUACCCCUGUAUGUGCCGAGUGCCGGUCAGCAUCGGUCGUUGGGUAGGGAGAAAAGCGCCCAUUCGUUGGGUGCUGAUGCCUACUCAGCGAUCGAGGAGUAAGGGUACCCCGGUCCUUUGGAUCAGUGCCCUCACGAUGCUGGCAGAAGGCUUCCAAUCCGCCCGUCUUGAAACACGGACCAAGGAGUCUAACAUGUAUGCGAGCGGGUGGGUGGUAAACCCAUGACGCGUAAGUAACCUGACUGGUGGGAGGGCGAAAGCCUGCACCAUCGACCGACCAUGAUCUUCUGUGAAAGGUUUGAGUACGAGCAUGCCUGUUGGGACCCGAAAGAUGGUGAACUAUGCCUGAGCAGGGCGAAGCCAGAGGAAACUCUGGUGGAGGCUCGUAGAUGUGCUGACGUGCAAAUCGCUUUUCGGACUUGGGUAUAGGGGCGAAAGACUAAUCGAACCAUCUAGUAGCUGGUUCCCUC
This 1570-nucleotide unclassified non-coding RNA is filed under the name uncultured fungus. RNAcentral's name for it is "sequence contains 18S rRNA gene, ITS1, 5.8S rRNA gene, ITS2, 28S rRNA gene". The stretch from base 639 to 1570 matches the Rfam family "Eukaryotic large subunit ribosomal RNA", at positions 1 to 961 of the family's 3401-position model. The record is from RNAcentral. Lineage: Eukaryota; Fungi.